This 583-nucleotide ribosomal RNA is filed under the name uncultured bacterium. RNAcentral describes it as "bacterial SSU rRNA". It matches the Rfam family "Bacterial small subunit ribosomal RNA", at positions 102 to 671 of the family's 1533-position model. The record is from RNAcentral.
ACGGGUGAGUAACACGUGGGCAACCUGCCCUUGAGACUGGGAUAACUUCGGGAAACCGGAGCUAAUACCGGAUAAUACAAGGAACCUCCUGGUUCCUUGUUGAAAGAUGGUUUCGGCUAUCACUUAAGGAUGGGCCCGCGGCGCAUUAGCUAGUUGGUGGGGUAACGGCUCACCAAGGCGACGAUGCGUAGCCGACCUGAGAGGGUGAUCGGCCACACUGGGACUGAGACACGGCCCAGACUCCUACGGGAGGCAGCAGUAGGGAAUCUUCCACAAUGGACGAAAGUCUGAUGGAGCAACGCCGCGUGAGUGAUGAAGGCCUUCGGGUCGUAAAGCUCUGUUGUUAGGGAAGAACAAGUGCGAGAGUAACUGCUCGCACCUUGACGGUACCUAACCAGAAAGCCACGGCUAACUACGUGCCAGCAGCCGCGGUAAUACGUAGGUGGCAAGCGUUAUCCGGAAUUAUUGGGCGUAAAGCGCGCGCAGGUGGUUUCUUAAGUCUGAUGUGAAAGCCCACGGCUCAACCGUGGAGGGUCAUUGGAAACUGGGGAACUUGAGUGCAGAAGAGGAAAGUGGAAUUCCA